RNAcentral lists this ribosomal RNA (763 nucleotides) under Spicara smaris (picarel). RNAcentral's name for it is "partial 16S ribosomal RNA". It matches the Rfam family "Bacterial large subunit ribosomal RNA", at positions 1708 to 2787 of the family's 2925-position model. Lineage: Eukaryota; Metazoa; Chordata; Actinopteri; Spariformes; Centracanthidae. The record is from RNAcentral.
AGGAACUCGGCAAACACCUGAAGCCUCGCCUGUUUACCAAAAACAUCGCCUCUUGCAAGACCAACGAAUAAGAGGUCCCGCCUGCCCUGUGACUAUAUGUUUAACGGCCGCGGUAUUUUGACCGUGCGAAGGUAGCGCAAUCACUUGUCUUUUAAAUGGAGACCUGUAUGAAUGGCUCCACGAGGGCUUAACUGUCUCCCCCUCCCAGUCAAUGAAAUUGAUUUCCCCGUGCAGAAGCGGGGAUAAGAACAUAAGACGAGAAGACCCUAUGGAGCUUAAGACGCCAGGACAGCUCACGUUAAACACCCCUUGAUAAAGGAAUAAACCGAGUGAACCCUGCCCCAGUGUUUUUGGUUGGGGCGACCGCGGGGAAAUACAAAACCCCCAUGUGGAACAGGAACACUAAGUUCCUAAAUCCAAGAGCUCCCGCUCUAAUUAACAGAAUUUCUGACCAGCUAAGAUCCGGCAAUGCCGAUCAACGGAACGAGUUACCCUAGGGAUAACAGCGCAAUCCUCUUAAAGAGUCCUUAUCGACAAGAGGGUUUACGACCUCGAUGUUGGAUCAGGACAUCCUAAUGGUGCAGCCGCUAUUAAGGGUUCGUUUGUUCAACGAUUAAAGUCCUACGUGAUCUGAGUUCAGACCGGAGUAAUCCAGGUCAGUUUCUAUCUAUGAAAGUAACCUUUUUUAGUACGAAAGGACCGAAAAGGAAAAGCCCCUGCUCAACGCACGCUUUACCUCCACCUACUGAAAACAACUAAAGUA